CGCAGGCUGCGAGGGGAUUUGAACCAGCUUGCGGCCCUCGUGAAACAAUCCGCUAAGAGGUCUGGCGCUCGCGCCC
This 76-nucleotide non-coding RNA is filed under the name Jannaschia seosinensis. Lineage: Bacteria; Pseudomonadati; Pseudomonadota; Alphaproteobacteria; Rhodobacterales; Roseobacteraceae. The record is from RNAcentral.